AGAGUUUGGAUCCUGGCUCAGAACGAACGCUGGCGGCGUGCUUAAGACAUGCAAGUCGUGCGAGAAAGUCGCCUUCGGGUGGCGAGUAAAGCGGCGCACGGGUGAGUAACGCGUGGGUAAUCUGCCUUUUGGUUCGGGAUAACUCCGGGAAACUGGGGCUAAUACCGAAUAAGACCACGAAGUCUUCGGGCUUCGCGGGAAAAGAUGGCCUCUCCUUGGAAGCUAUCGCCAGUCGAUGAGCCCGCGUCUGAUUAGCUUGUUGGUGAGGUAACGGCUCACCAAGGCGACGAUCAGUAGCUGGUCUGAGAGGAUGAUCAGCCACACUGGAACUGAGACACGGUCCAGACUCCUACGGGAGGCAGCAGUCGGGAAUUUUGGGCAAUGGGUGAAAGCCUGACCCAGCAACGCCGCGUGAGGGAUGAAGGCCUUCGGGUCGUAAACCUCUGUCGGAAGGGAAGAAAGGUCACUGUUCUAAUAGGCCAGUGACUUGACGGUACCUUCAAAGGAAGUACCGGCUAACUCCGUGCCAGCAGCCGCGGUAAUACGGAGGGUACGAGCGUUGUUCGGAAUUACUGGGCGUAAAGCGCGUGUAGGCGGCCGUAAAAGUCGGGUGUGAAAUCCCGGGGCUCAACCCCGGAACUGCACCCGAAACUGUAUGGCUAGAGUCCCGGAGGGGGUGGCGGAAUUUCCGGUGUAGAG
This 699-nucleotide ribosomal RNA is filed under the name uncultured bacterium. Its description in RNAcentral is "bacterial SSU rRNA". It matches the Rfam family "Bacterial small subunit ribosomal RNA", at positions 8 to 680 of the family's 1533-position model. The record is from RNAcentral.